UCGAGGAUCUUCCGCAAUGGGCGAAAGCCUGACGGAGCGACGCCGCGUGGAUGAUGAAGGCCUUCGGGUUGUAAAGUCCUUUCGCGCAGGAUGAAAAUGCGUGUGUAAAUAGCACACGCACUGACGUUACUGUGCAAAGAAGCUCCGGCUAACUUCGUGCCAGCAGCCGCGGUAAGACGAAGGGAGCAAGCGUUGUUCGGAUUCACUGGGCAUAAAGGGCACGUAGGCGGCCGAGCAAGUCGGAUGUGAAAUCCCGCGGCUCAACCGCGGAAUUGCAUCCGAUACUGCACGGCUUGAGGCCGGGAGGGGAGAGUGGAACUCCUAGUGUAGCGGUGAAAUGCGUAGAUAUUAGGAGGAACGCCGGUGGCGAAAGCGACUCGUCUGGCCCGGUUCUGACGCUGAGGUGCGAAAGCUAGGGGAGCAAACAGGAUUAGAUACCCUGGUAGUCCUAGCCCCUAAACGAUGAGCACGUAGGUAGGGGUGGUUCCGAG
This 491-nucleotide ribosomal RNA is filed under the name uncultured bacterium. Its description in RNAcentral is "bacterial SSU rRNA". It matches the Rfam family "Bacterial small subunit ribosomal RNA", at positions 355 to 836 of the family's 1533-position model. The record is from RNAcentral.